Molecule: unclassified non-coding RNA, 322 nt
Filed under: soil metagenome
Description: partial contains 5.8S ribosomal RNA, internal transcribed spacer 2, and large subunit ribosomal RNA
Rfam family: 5.8S ribosomal RNA (bases 1-120)
Source: RNAcentral
GAUGAAGAACGCAGCGAAAUGCGAUAAGUAAUGUGAAUUGCAGAAUUCAGUGAAUCAUCGAAUCUUUGAACGCACAUUGCGCCCUUUGGCAUUCCGAAGGGCACACCUGUCCGAGCGCCGUCGCACAACUGAGGCGCAGCCUUGCGUUGGCGGGCGACUUGUGAGUAGCGAGCCGCCGCCCAAACGAGACGGCGCCGCGCCGCGGCCGACGAAGCACGAAAGCGGAAGUCGACGCGGAGGCGGUUGCCUGUAGGAAGACACAGCUUGGCCUCGGAUCAGGUGGGGAUACCCGCUGAACUUAAGCAUAUCAAUAAGCGGAGGA